GUGGGGAAUAUUGGACAAUGGGCGAAAGCCUGAUCCAGCCAUGCCGCGUGUGUGAAGAAGGUCUUCGGAUUGUAAAGCACUUUAAGUUGGGAGGAAGGGCAGUAAGUUAAUACCUUGCUGUUUUGACGUUACCGACAGAAUAAGCACCGGCUAACUUCGUGCCAGCAGCCGCGGUAAUACGAAGGGUGCAAGCGUUAAUCGGAAUUACUGGGCGUAAAGCGCGCGUAGGUGGUUUUGUAAGCUGGAGGUGAAAUCCCCGGGCUCAACCUGGGAACUGCCUCCAAAACUGCAUGACUAGAGUACGGUAGAGGGUAGUGGAAUUUCCGGUGUAGCGGUGAAAUGCGUAGAUAUAGGAAGGAACACCAGUGGCGAAGGCGACUACCUGGACUGAUACUGACACUGAGGUGCGAAAGCGUGGGGAGCAAACAGGAUUAGAAACCCCAGUAGUCC
Molecule: ribosomal RNA, 450 nt
Filed under: uncultured bacterium
Lineage: Bacteria
Description: partial 16S ribosomal RNA
Rfam family: Bacterial small subunit ribosomal RNA
Source: RNAcentral